GAUGAACGCUGGCGGCGCGCUUAACACAUGCAAGUCGAACGAAGCAUUUAAGUGGAUUUCCUUCGGGGAUGAAGCUUAUCUGACUGAGUGGCGGACGGGUGAGUAACGCGUGGGUAACCUGCCUUACACAGGGGGAUAACAGCUGGAAACGGCUGCUAAUACCGCAUAAGCGCACUAGUGCUGCAUGGCAUAGUGUGAAAAGAUUUUAUCGGUGUAAGAUGGACCCGCGUCUGAUUAGCUGGUUGGUGGGGUAAUGGCCGACCAAGGCAACGAUCAGUAGCCGGAUUGAGAGGGUGAACGGCCACAUUGGGACUGAGACACGGCCCAAACUCCUACGGGAGGCAGGAGUGGGGAAUAUUGCACAAUGGGGGAAACCCUGAUGCAGCGACGCCGCGUGAGUGAAGAAGUAUUUCGGUAUGUAAAGCUCUAUCAGCAGGGACGAAAGAAGUUGAAAGACACUUUGUGACGGUACCUGACUAAGAAGCCCCGGCUAACUACGUGCCAGCCGCCGCAGUAA
RNAcentral lists this ribosomal RNA (517 nucleotides) under uncultured bacterium. RNAcentral's name for it is "partial 16S ribosomal RNA". It matches the Rfam family "Bacterial small subunit ribosomal RNA", at positions 28 to 523 of the family's 1533-position model. The record is from RNAcentral.